This 253-nucleotide ribosomal RNA is filed under the name uncultured bacterium. RNAcentral's name for it is "partial 16S ribosomal RNA". It matches the Rfam family "Bacterial small subunit ribosomal RNA", at positions 524 to 776 of the family's 1533-position model. The record is from RNAcentral.
UACGUAGGGUCCGAGCGUUGUCCGGAAUUACUGGGCGUAAAGAGCUCGUAGGUGGUUUGUCGCGUUGUUCGUGAAAACUCACAGCUUAACUGUGGGCGUGCGGGCGAUACGGGCAGACUUGAGUACUGCAGGGGAGACUGGAAUUCCUGGUGUAGCGGUGAAAUGCGCAGAUAUCGGGAGGAACACCGGUGGCGAAGGCGGUUCUCUGGGCCUGUACUGACGCUGAGGAGCGAAAGCGUGGGGAGCGAACAGG